RNAcentral lists this ribosomal RNA (253 nucleotides) under uncultured bacterium. RNAcentral describes it as "partial 16S ribosomal RNA". It matches the Rfam family "Bacterial small subunit ribosomal RNA", at positions 524 to 776 of the family's 1533-position model. The record is from RNAcentral.
UACAGAGGGUGCAAGCGUUAAUCGGAAUUACUGGGCGUAAAGCGUGCGUAGACGGUAGCGUAAGUCGGGUGUGAAAGCCCCGGGCUCAACCUGGGAAUGGCAUUCGAGACUGCUCUGCUAGGGUGCGGAAGAGGGGAGCGGAAUUUCCGGUGUAGCGGUGAAAUGCGUAGAUAUCGGAAGGAACAUCAGUGGCGAAAGCGGCUUCCUGGUCCAGCACCGACGUUCAGGCACGAAAGCGUGGGGAGCAAACAGG